GGUUAAGUCCCGCAACGAGCGCAACCCUUAAGCUUAGUUGCCAUCAUUAAGUUGGGCACUCUAAGUUGACUGCCGGUGACAAACCGGAGGAAGGUGGGGAUGACGUCAAAUCAUCAUGCCCCUUAUGAUUUGGGCUACACACGUGCUACAAUGGACAAUACAAAGGGCAGCGAAACCGUGAGGUCAAGCAAAUCCCAUAAAGUUGUUCUCAGUUCGGAUUGUAGUCUGCAACUCGACUACAUGAAGCUGGAAUCGCUAGUAAUCGUAGAUCAGCAUGCUACGGUGAAUACGUUCCCGGGUCUUGUACACACCGCCCGUCACACCACGAGAGUUUGUAACACCCGAAGCCGGUGGAGU
This 357-nucleotide ribosomal RNA is filed under the name Staphylococcus aureus. RNAcentral's name for it is "bacterial SSU rRNA". It matches the Rfam family "Bacterial small subunit ribosomal RNA", at positions 1078 to 1436 of the family's 1533-position model. The record is from RNAcentral. Lineage: Bacteria; Bacillati; Bacillota; Bacilli; Caryophanales; Staphylococcaceae.